RNAcentral lists this ribosomal RNA (492 nucleotides) under uncultured bacterium. RNAcentral describes it as "partial 16S ribosomal RNA". It matches the Rfam family "Bacterial small subunit ribosomal RNA", at positions 29 to 507 of the family's 1533-position model. The record is from RNAcentral.
AGUGAACGCUGACGGUAGGCCUAACACAUGCAAGUCGAACGGCAGCACAGUAAGAGCUUGCUCUUACGGGUGGCGAGUGGCGGACGGGUGAGGAAUACAUCGGAAUCUACUUUUUCGUGGGGGAUAACGUAGGGAAACUUACGCUAAUACCGCAUACGACCUACGGGGGAAAGCAGGGGAUCUUCGCACCUUGCGCGAUUGAAUGAGCCGAUGUCGGAUUAGCUAGUUGGCGGGGUAAAGACCCACCAAGUCGACGAUCGGUAGCUGGUCUGAGAGGCUGGUAGGCGGCACUGGAGCUGAGACACGGUCCAGACUCCUACGGGAGGCAGCAGUGGGGAAUAUUGGACAAUGGGGGCAAGCCUGAUCCAGCCAUACCGCGUGGGUGAAGAAGGCCUUCGGGUUGUAAAGCCCUUUUGUUGGGAAAGAAAAGCAGCCGGUUAAUACCCCGCUGUUCUGACGGUACCCAAAGAAUAAGCACCGGCUAACUUCGUG